Molecule: long non-coding RNA, 1217 nt
Filed under: Pan troglodytes (chimpanzee)
Lineage: Eukaryota; Metazoa; Chordata; Mammalia; Primates; Hominidae
Description: long non-coding RNA NONPTRT008601
Source: RNAcentral
CUCCAACAUAGGCUAUUUUAGAACAAUACGUAUGACUAUGGGUAAUUUAGGCAAGGCUGUAGUUAAAGCGAGGUAUACUCAUUUUUCAAAAUUUUAUAUGUAGUUGCCUUCUCAAGACAAUAUGGGCAAAGUGAGUACAUUUAGUGGGAUCCUUGCAGGGAGCCGAAGACCCCAUGGGAUAUGACCAACUCAGCAUUCCACUGGAGGCUAUAUGAUCAAACAGCAAACUGUUUAUCAUGAAUGCAGGAUGUGGGCAAACUCACGACUACUCCCACUGCCAGAAGGUUUGCUGAGGGCCAUCGCUUCCUGGUGCCGAGCUCCUUGUCCACUAGAGGCAAGGUGCCCCCUAACUCCUUCUUCCAGAUAUACUCUUUUGUCUCUUGUCUUUUAUUCCCGUGUUCAUCCCCCUUUGUUCAGUCCACCAGGGAUCGUGGCACGUUACAUAGUGGUGCCCCGAACAGCGACAGAAUCAGGUGCUCUACAAGUGGCACUCAAACAGGCGACAGUCUGAACACGGGACUAUGAGGAUGUGAAUGAAGAAGAUUUCCUGGAACAGAGGAACUGAAAUUGACAACGCAAAUGGGGACCCUGGGAUGAGUCAGCUGGCAGCGCACGUGAGUCUGUAAAAUCGGAUGGACCGCCAAUCGGAGAAUGAGAGCUGCCCAGCCUGGUCUUACAUUCUUUCAAUUAAUUCAUAAACAGGGGGAUAUGCAGGGAGCCGAAGGCCCAUGGGACGUGACCAACUCAGCAUUCCACUGGAGGCUAUAUGAUCAAACAGCAAACUGUUUAUCAUGAAUACAGGAUGUGAGCAAACUCACGACUGUGCCUGCCGCCAGAAGGUUUGCUGAGGGCAAUCGCUUCCUGACGCCGAGCUCUUUGAAGUUAUCUACUGGAACAUCUAGAGAAUGCAGUCUUGCAAGCCUACUCUGGACCAACCAACUGACCUCUUCUUCCACCCCUCUUCUCACUAUCGCUUUUGUCUAAUAAAUACAGAGGGCCGUGUAAAGCUCAGGGCCUUGUCCACUAGAGGCAAGGUGCCCCCGGACCCCUUCUUCCAAAUAUACUCUUUUGUCUCUUGUCUUUUAUUCCCGCGUUCACCCCCCUUUGUUCAGUCCACCAGGGAUCAUGGCAGGUUACAUAGUGGCGCCCCGAACAGCGACAGAAUCGGGUGCUCAAUAGAUCCUCAUAUAUAACUAUAAUUGGAGCCCCAAUGUAAA